GGGGCCGACUGGUUUUGACAGCGGGUUUCAUUAAUCGGUAAGCAUGCCGAGCGCUGGGAUACAGCUCGUUAAUCUCAUGUUUCAAUCUUUUUUAAACGGCGAGAAUAAUUACGCCCUAGCUGCAUAAUCUGAAUUAUAGUAAGAUGUGCCUCGGCCCGCCAGGCGGGCAAGCAGGAAGUCACUCAAAAGCCUUGGUUUGCGGCAUUUGAUUCAGUGGCUUCGUUAAAGUAAACCUAGCCAGGUUAGUGCUUUGAUGACCGGGUGAAAAUCAAUUAAAGCUAAGUCAUGAGCAGGCCGUUUUCAGCCAGUAAAUGAACGAAAAUCCAAAUGAAAACUAAGCAUGUAGAAAGCCCUUUAACGGCACGUUUGGACGGGAGUUCGACUCUCCCCGGCUCCACA
Molecule: transfer-messenger RNA, 399 nt
Filed under: marine eukaryotic metagenome
Rfam family: transfer-messenger RNA
About the family: Bacterial tmRNA, also known as 10Sa RNA or SsrA, is named for its dual tRNA and mRNA-like properties. Its role is to liberate the mRNA from a stalled ribosome.
Source: RNAcentral